Molecule: unclassified non-coding RNA, 235 nt
Filed under: uncultured fungus
Lineage: Eukaryota; Fungi
Description: sequence contains ITS1
Source: RNAcentral
GUAUUGAUUGCGUGUGACCGCAAAAUAAAUAAAUAAAAAGAACAUUCUACACUGUAUCAAGUUUUAUGUGAAAACGCAAGCCCUCCUGCAAAGGGGGGCCCACGCGGUGAUGCACAAAAGGGGUGAGAUGGAUUGUGUGAGAGCGCUCGGGCGUGCACGACCUUUAGAGGGUCAGCGACAGCCUUUGCACCUCAGUUGUACAAUAAUGAUCCUUCCGCAGGUUCACCUACGGAAA